RNAcentral lists this unclassified non-coding RNA (539 nucleotides) under uncultured fungus. Its description in RNAcentral is "partial contains 18S rRNA, ITS1, 5.8S rRNA, ITS2 and 28S rRNA". The record is from RNAcentral. Lineage: Eukaryota; Fungi.
AGUCCUACCUGAUUUGAGGAAAAUGUGUUUUUAGUGUGGUUGUCACUACUAAAUUAGAAAAUAACAACACAAGAAAAAUACUUUUCGAAUGGACUGACUAAGAGCUCGUGCCAUUCAACGCCAACCCGCGGGGGUUGAGGGAGAAAUGACGCUCAAACAGGCAUACCUUGUGGAAUACCACAAGGUGCAAUGUGCGUUCAAAGAUUCGAUGAUUCACGAAAAUCUGCAAUUCAUAUUACUUAUCGCAUUUCGCUGCGUUCUUCAUCGAUGCGAGAACCAAGAGAUCCGUUGUUGAAAGUUUUGAUUUUUGGUUGUUGUUGUUGACAUAAUUAAGUUGGUUAGUUGUAUAUGUUAAACGUAAACGUGUAAACAAUUAAAUUUUUAAUGAUCCUUCCGCAGGUUCACCUACGGAAACCUUGUUACGACUUUUACUUCCUCUAAAUGAUUAGGUUUGACUAGCUUUUCAACCCCAGAUCAAGGUCGCCCUCGUUCUUAGGUCAAUCCGGAAGCCUCACCAAACCAUUCAAUCGGUAGUAGCG